Molecule: ribosomal RNA, 497 nt
Filed under: uncultured bacterium
Lineage: Bacteria
Description: partial 16S ribosomal RNA
Rfam family: Bacterial small subunit ribosomal RNA
Source: RNAcentral
GAUGAACGCUGGCGGCGUGCCUAAUACAUGCAAGUCGAGCGAACAGACGAGGAGCUUGCUCCUCUGACGUUAGCGGCGGACGGGUGAGUAACACGUGGAUAACCUACCUAUAAUACUGGGAUAACUUCGGGAAACCGGAGCUAAUACCGGAUAAUAUAUUGAACCGCAUGGUUCAAUAGUGAAAGACGGUUUUGCUGUCACUUAUAGAUGGAUCCGCGCCGCAUUAGCUAGUUGGUAAGUUAACGGCUUACCAAGGCAACGAUGCGUAGCCGACCUGAGAGGGUGAUCGGCCACCCUGGAACUGAGACACGGUCAAGACUACUACGGGAGGCAGCAGUAGGGAAUCUUACGCAAUGGGCGAAAGCCUGACGGAGCAACGCCGCGUGAGUGAUGAAGGUCUUCGGAUCGUAAAACUCUGUUAUUAGGGAAGAACAAAUGUGUAAGUAAAUAUGCACGUAUUGACGGUACCUAAUCAGAAAGCCACGGCUAACUACGUG